AGGCCCGAAAGCAUCUAGUCCCAAAGACAUCGUUUGGAUUAUCAACUGAAAACUCGCUGAAAUUGAACAGAGGACUGAAAAACUGGUGCUACCGGAAAACAGGAACACUGUAGCUGCCGGAAAGGCACUGUAGCUGUCGGAAAAUUUCAACGUUGUCGGAAUUAAAAGUAAAAAUAUGGAUAGGCUCGGAAUUCAAGUAGGAGUAAACUGUCCUGAAGAAAUAUUG
This 226-nucleotide long non-coding RNA is filed under the name Nicotiana benthamiana. RNAcentral's name for it is "long non-coding RNA (NBEN_LNC000774)". Lineage: Eukaryota; Viridiplantae; Streptophyta; Magnoliopsida; Solanales; Solanaceae. The record is from RNAcentral.